GAUGAACGCUGGCGGCGUGCUUAACACAUGCAAGUCGAACGGGAUCCAUCAGGCUUUGCUUGGUGGUGAGAGUGGCGAACGGGUGAGUAAUGCGUGACCGACCUGCCCCAUACACCGGAAUAGCUCCUGGAAACGGGUGGUAAUGCCGGAUGCUCCAGUUGAUCGCAUGGUCUUCUGGGAAAGCUUUCGCGGUAUGGGAUGGGGUCGCGUCCUAUCAGCUUGACGGCGGGGUAACGGCCCACCGUGGCUUCGACGGGUAGCCGGCCUGAGAGGGCGACCGGCCACAUUGGGACUGAGAUACGGCCCAGACUCCUACGGGAGGCAGCAGUGGGGAAUAUUGCACAAUGGGCGAAAGCCUGAUGCAGCGACGCCGCGUGAGGGAUGGAGGCCUUCGGGUUGUAAACCUCUUUUAUCGGGGAGCAAGCGAGAGUGAGUU
RNAcentral lists this ribosomal RNA (436 nucleotides) under uncultured bacterium. RNAcentral's name for it is "bacterial SSU rRNA". It matches the Rfam family "Bacterial small subunit ribosomal RNA", at positions 28 to 462 of the family's 1533-position model. The record is from RNAcentral.